Molecule: ribosomal RNA, 193 nt
Filed under: Pantoea dispersa
Lineage: Bacteria; Pseudomonadati; Pseudomonadota; Gammaproteobacteria; Enterobacterales; Erwiniaceae
Description: partial 16S ribosomal RNA
Rfam family: Bacterial small subunit ribosomal RNA
Source: RNAcentral
CAAAGAGAAGCGACCUCGCGAGAGCAAGCGGACCUCAUAAAUGCGUCGUAGUCCGGAUUGGAGUCUGCAACUCGACUCCAUGAAGUCGGAAUCGCUAGUAAUCGUAGAUCAGAAUGCUACGGUGAAUACGUUCCCGGGCCUUGUACACACCGCCCGUCACACCAUGGGAGUGGGUUGCAAAAGAAGUAGGUAG